RNAcentral lists this ribosomal RNA (368 nucleotides) under uncultured bacterium. Its description in RNAcentral is "bacterial SSU rRNA". It matches the Rfam family "Bacterial small subunit ribosomal RNA", at positions 525 to 895 of the family's 1533-position model. The record is from RNAcentral.
ACGGAGGGUGCAAGCGUUAUCCGGAUUCACUGGGUUUAAAGGGUGCGUAGGUGGGUUGGUAAGUCAGUGGUGAAAUCUCCGAGCUUAACUUGGAAACUGCCAUUGAUACUAUCAGUCUUGAAUAUUGUGGAGGUUAGCGGAAUAUGUCAUGUAGCGGUGAAAUGCUUAGAGAUGACAUAGAACACCAAUUGCGAAGGCAGCUGGCUACACAUAUAUUGACACUGAGGCACGAAAGCGUGGGGAUCAAACAGGAUUAGAUACCCUGGUAGUCCACGCCCUAAACUAUGGAUACUCGACAUACGCGAUACACAGUGUGUGUCUGAGCGAAAGCAUUAAGUAUCCCACCUGGGAAGUACGAUCGCAAGAUU